RNAcentral lists this long non-coding RNA (10523 nucleotides) under Setaria italica (foxtail millet). Its description in RNAcentral is "long non-coding RNA (SITA_LNC000655)". The record is from RNAcentral. Lineage: Eukaryota; Viridiplantae; Streptophyta; Magnoliopsida; Poales; Poaceae.
UGGAAAUUAGGGACGCCGCGGGUGCGCGCCGCAGCACCAGUAGCGGCAGGAGACAUGAAGGUCCUCAUCAGCUGGGCCGCUGGUUCGGGAUGCGGAACCAAUAGCUCCGCGGGGCGGAGCGACGGCAGCGUCGGGGAUCGGAGGAUCUCUGCCCCGCGUUGGCUCAUCAUCGAAGGAGCUGCUGAGGGUCCCGAUAGGCGGCGGAAAACCCUCCCCAACGCCGAGCGCAACAUCGCCAUCUCUUGUUCUUCACCUCCUCUUCAACUCCUCUCCUCCUCUCUCUCUGGUCGGGUCGGGUCGGGUCGGGUCGAUUAGGGUUGGCUGCUGUUCUGUUCUGUUCGGGUGCUGCGGCGCAAAAUAUAGGUAGGGGUUACUCCUACGAUCUGGACUGAAUUCCACUUUUCCCUCGGACUCGGCUCCCUUCUCGACUCGGACUCCAGCGUUAAACCUUGGCAGACGAGGGCCCGCGUGGAGCAGGCCCGCCGAGACCGGCGUGGCGCGCGGGGGCGAUUGAGUUAGGACCUGUUUGGUUAGAAUGGCUUAUGCAUAAGCAACUUAUAAAUAAGCAAAUAAGUUGCUUAUAAUCCAAACACUCUUGUUUAUAGAGUUGCUUAUAAGUUGCUUAUACAUAAGCAAAUAAGCAAGUGAGUAGCUGCUUAUUUUGCUUAUGGGGUGCUCUUUACCUCCCUACCCUCCCCCACUUUUCUCUGUCCCCCGUCUGCAAUCCUCUCCCCAGAUCCCCUUCUCUGUUGUUCUCCCACCCCGGCGCCGCGCCCGAUCUCCGCCCGCCGGUCCCUCCCCGCUGCCGCCGCCGGCCUCCGCGCGCCGCUCACGCGACGGCCCGCCGCUCCCGGCCCGCCUCUGGCGCCAGCCUCCGCGCGCAGCUCCCGCCCCGGCCCGCCGCUUCCGCCCCGCCUCCGCCGCCGGCCUCCACGCGCUGCUCCCGCCCCGGUUUGUCGCUCCCACCCUGCCAACGCCGCUAGGCUCCGCGCGCCGCUCCCGCCCUGCCCCGGCCCUCCACUCCCGCCCCAGCCCGCCGCUCCCGGCCCGUCGCCCGCCUCCGCGCCCCACCGCCCGCCUCCGCGCCCAGUCGCCCGCCUCCGCCCGCCGCUAAGCUCCUACCCUCGUUUCUCUCUUGCCCUCAUCCGCACUCUCUCCGCCCGAUCCCCUUCCUCCCUCCCCCCGUCCGCACUGUUUUCCCCCAGAUCCCCUUUCUCUCUGUCUUCCUCUUCCCCGGCGGCGCCGCCCCUGCGCCAUCCCUGAAAUCAUGGACGGUUACCGUGAUUUUUUUUCGCAGGGGGCCUCAUCCUCGGCAGGUCCUUCCUUGCGUCAACCCCAUGGCGUCCCCAACCCCGAUGAGUUGGAGCUCCUGUCUCAAUGGCCUGAGCAACCACAUACAGCUCCUACUGUUUCUGCGGGGAGGGUUGGGAUGGAGAAUCUCGAUCUAAACUCGCAGCAAGAAGAUUUCCCCUACAUUGAAGAGUACUCGGCAUUACUCGAUCGUGGAAGAGGCCGUGCCGAUGGCGGGAGAGCAGCCUCGUUUCAACCUCCCCGUCAAAGCGCAAGUGGUAUUCCAAUUGGACGGGGAAGGAGUGCUACACGAGGUUCUGGCCGUGCCCGUGGAAGAAGUGUCUGCGCAUCACAUUCACCGCCGGCAGGUUGGUGUAACUGUUUCUUCCUGUACUUCUUUUUGCAUAGGUAACUUAUAUGGUUAAGGAUCAUAUAUUUCUUGUUUGUUAGCCUAUCAUUCAUUUUGUAUAGGUAACUACCAGAAGAAGUCUUACUUGUACAGCAUUAUGUUUGUGUUCUGCCAUUUUUUAUAGACCUUUUUCAGAAAAAAGAUAACAAUUCUGGCAUUUGGUGCAUACAACAGCACAGGCAUAUUAGUGAAUUGUGAUGAUUAGGAGUGAUAAAAAUACACAAUAACAACAAUGAUGUAUCAGUACCUUCUUAAGGUCAUAUCCACAGGUGAAAUAAAUGGAGUGAAAUGCAGGUUAGAUGCAGGUUAAAUCCUUCACCAAGCAUGCAAGAUAGAAACUCCUCAACAUCCCUCUUACUGUUCUGCUGUUCAAAUUAACAUGUUAUUACUGUCUUGUACAAAAAUAAUAUUGCUUGAGCAGUAGUUUUAUGUGUAAUUGCCAUUCUUAUGUUGAAAAUAUUAUGUAUGCCAUAAUGGAAAGUUCUAAAGGGGGUAACCCAUAACAUCAUUUUUAUUAACAGAAAUGAUUUUGAGCAGAUAGUAUGGUUGAUCUUCAUCUAUUUGACUCAAUAACUGUCUUGUAUAAGCUGAAACUAUCAAUUCUUGUUGUGGACCAAUUGUACUGUACAUUUCUGAGCUAGUUGCUUCUGAGUUUGUUAUUGCUAAGUUUGUUAUCUCUGAAUUUGUUAUUUACGAUAAAUUUAUGUCUGAAUUAUUUAUUUUUCAACACUGUAGGUGCAAGUCCUCCCCUCCGUCAAUCAUUAAGGGGAAGGUUAUCUCAAUUUAGUGCUGUCAGACAUGGUGCCUCUAACUCGGGUGCAACACACUGUCCAUCGUUCACGAACACGGUGGAUCAAGAAGAUAUUGAUGAAGACGAUGUUGACUCCUUUCCUUCUGUAAGCAUUCUUAUCUCAGCUGGUUAUGUGUGAACAUGUGUGUUGCAUAAGUAGAGGCUUGAGCUUUAUAUUUCUUUCCAUGUUAUGUGUUAGAACAAGUAUGACAAGGCGAAUUGGAGCGCAGAAAACACCGGUAUUUUUUGUGAACUCUGUGUUGAGCAAAUGAGGCUAGGAAAUUGUCCAGGUGGGAAGAUUAACUCUAGGGGUUAUAAAGAAAUUGCACGAAAAUUCAACGAAAGGACAGGCCUGAACCAUGCUCCCAAACAAUUCAGAAAUAGGUGGACAACAUGCAAGAAACUUUAUGAAUUCUAUAAGUUUGCAAUGUCACAGUCAGGACUAGGUAGGAAAGCAAAUGGUGCCAUUCUAGCUGACGACGAUUGGUGGGAUCAAAACAUUAAGGUAUUACGGUUUCCUAAAGAAAUAUCAAACCCAGGUUAUAUGUUUGUGAGAGGUUUUAAUUGCUGUUUCAUUUUGUAUUACAGAGUUAUAGUUCAGAGUGCCUGUUAUUUUCAAGAUAUAUGCCAAACUAUGUUGAUGACUUACAAGAGAUGUACCAGAAGGUGGUAGUGGAUGGAAAUUCGUCUACCAUUGCAUGAAAUGUAGCUGCCGAAGGUAUUGACCUUGAGAAAGAGGUGAUUGAUUUACCAGAAGAUGAUGUUAUGUUACCAGAAGAUGGAACUGAAGACUACGCUAGCCCACUGAGUAGUAGCAGUCGAAAGAGGAGUUCUAGCACAAAAGACACUGCAUGUAGUCCGCCAAAGAAGGGGAAAAAUCAGUUCCUAAACAUAUUCAAAGACCUUGUGCACACAAUGAAAGCUGACAGCUCUGAGGACUCUGAGGCAAUAAAGCUGAAGCAGAGGGAGAUGGAGUUAAAGCUGAAGUAGAGGGAGAUGGAGAUGAAGCAGAGGGAAAUGGAUAUGAAGCAGAGGGAAAUGGAGAUGGAGUACAGGAGGAAGGAAAAGGAAGAGAAGUGGAAAAAUGAGGAAAGGGAAGAUUAUGAGAUAGAUGAAUGCAUCAAUAUGGCAAGAGAAUGUGGAGCUGUAGAUGGUACAAAGGAAUUUUUCAUGGCAACUGAGUUGUUUGCAACAAGAUACAACCGGAAAAUUUUUUCCAAGAUUAAAACAAAUGAAGCAAGGUUGACUUGGCUACAAAUGAAGUGCACGAGGAACAAGUGAAGCUAUUGACCACUAGUUACUUGAGUUGCUUGAGGGGAACUUUUAAAUAAUGUGUGAAAUAUUUGAACUGUAUUGUUCUGUGAACCUAUGUUAUGUGUGAACCCUCGUUAUGUGUGGACCCGAGUUAUGUGUGCCAUUUGGUUCAGUUGUCAUUCCAUUUGUGUGCCCUCUAUUACAUUUACGAUAACUUUUAUGUCUCCUGUGUUGUUAUGUGUGAUCCACUUUAGUUUAUUUUGUGAUUAGUGGAUAUGAACUCUGAUAAAUUUUAUUUUAUUUGUACAGAUUCCUCCUUUUCACUAUUCAUCGUCUUCUGAUUCCGAUGAAGAGUUGCUGAAAAGAAGGAAGAAGAAGAGGAGGCAACUUGCUACUAUUUGUGCAGCUUUCGGUAUGUACUAUUACACGACAUACCUAGACAAAGCUAAAUAUAGGGUUGCAAACCAAACUGGUUAUGAAUGGGUUGUUAGUACAUUACAGAAUAGGACAUCUUGCUACAACAUGUUUAGGAUGAAUAGAGAUGUGUUUGAUAGUCUACACAAUAUCCUAGUCCAAUCAUAUGGGUUGAAGUCAACAAGGAGGAUGACAUCAGUAGAGGCUUUAGCUAUGUUUGUGUGGAUUUGUGGUGCGCCUCAAAGCAUGAGGCAAGCUGAGGAUCGUUUUGUUAGGUCCACUGAAACAUGCAGUAGAAAGUUUGAGAAAGUAUUGCAUAGUCUGUGCAAGCUAGCAGGUGAUAUCAUUAGACCAGUUGACCCAACAUUUAGUACUGUGCAUCGUAGACUGCAGUCACCACGGUUCUCCCCCUACUUUGAUAAUUGCAUUGGAGCAAUAGAUGGAACACAUGUGCCUAUUAUUGUGCCAGUGGACAAGGUUGUCCAACAUACGGGCCGACAUGGGUACACCCGCCAGAAUGUGUUAGCAAUAUGUGAUUUCGACAUGAGAUUUAUGUUUGUUGUCGCCGGAUGGCCUGGAUCGGUGCAUGACAUGAGAGUCUUCAAAGAUGCAUUGAUCAAGUACGGCGACAAGUUUCCUCAUCCUCCAGAAGGUUCUUCCCUAUUCUAUGUUCCCAUACUAGUCACAAUGUCUAUCUAUUGGUUGAAUAUAACACGAAAAUUAAUUAUUGUGCAGGGAAAUUUUAUCUGGUGGACUCUGGGUACCCAAACAGACCGGGAUACCUGGCACCAUACAAGGGUACGAAAUAUCAUAUCCCAGAGUUUCGACCAGGACCACUCCCAAGAGGUAAAAAAGAGCUUUUCAAUUAUGCCCAUUCAUCACUAAGGAAUGUGAUUGAGAGGUCUUUUGGAGUUUUGAAAAACAAAUGGCGUAUUUUGCGUGAUUUACCGGCAUAUCCAAUGGCAAAGCAAAGCAACAUAAUUAUCGCUUGCAUGGCAAUUCAUAACUUCAUUAGAGAGAGUACACUUGCUGAUGUGGACUUUGAGAGGGCGGAUAACGAUGAAUGCUAUGUGGCGCCUUCGGACGCAUCGUCGUCACAAAACAAUGCUGAUACUAGUCAACACGGGGACGAAGAUCAAGACAUGAACCAAUUUAGGGAUUGGAUUGCCGAUGGACUCUCCAAUAGAUCUUAGGUUCCUUGUUUUGUAACGAUGUUACUUGUACAAUGUUGAACAACAUUUGAUUUGAAUAAUAAUUUGGCUCCCAGCACCGUGGCAGCCAAAUGAAAGCCGGGCUAGUUCUAGUUCCGCGGCAAUUCCUUCUGGCGCCCAGGAGCUCAUUCUGGCGCAAGGCCAGCUUUCCUCUCUGGCGCCAACUCUCCUUGUGCCGCCAAGGACCGGGCAAACUCCUUCUGGCGCCAAGGCCACCUUCCUAGCGCCAACUCUGCUUCUGGCGGACAGGAGAACUCCUUCUGGCGCCAAGGCCAGGAACCUCCUGGCGCCAAUCUCCUUCUGGCGUCAAGGCCAGGAACCUCCUGGCGCCAAUUUGGUUCUGGCGCCAAGGACCAGGAGGACCAGGAGCACUAGUAUUAAUUAGGGGUAGAGGGAAAUGGGAUGGCAGGGGUAAAUGUGUCAAUAGCAGUCUCAUUUAUUGCAAAUAAGCAACCCAAACCAAACACCAAGACUUAUAAAUAAGCAACUUAUAAAUAAGCACCCAUAACCAAACAGGCCCGUAGUCAUUGGAACUAAUAUUUUAUUUUAGCUAGCAUGUACUUUACAGAGCAUGCACUUUAUAGGUUUUCUAGUUCAUUUUAGUUACUCUUGCUUAUUUUUAGGGUCCGUUCACUCAUGAUCUUUAGGAGUGUUGUAAACUUUAGGAGCUAGAAAUUGGUAGUCCUAAAAUUUAUGAGUGGGCUGUUUGGAUGGAAUCAUAAUCUUUAGGAUGUUAGAGGGAAAAUGACUUUUGUACCCCUAAUUACUCUUGUAACCCUGCUCUGUUUCUAGCGCUGCCCCUGCCCUGGUUAUGGCGAGCAGCGCUGCUUCUGGCGCGCAAGUGCUGGCUGCCGUUUUUUUUUUGCCGACCCUUUUCUUAACUUUAUCAAUAAAAUAUUUUUGCAAUGUCCAAUAAACAUUAAGCACAGUCCAUCGUCAAUAUCAUUACAACUCAAAAAUACAAAACCUCUACGAUCUAUUGAACAAAGCAUUAGCUAUAUUAUCACAGAAUUCGCUCAUAUUUUGGUCUCCGUCUGACUCUUCGGUAUUUCCCUCAUGUCCUUCAGAGCUUGAUUCUUGGGCUAAAGGAAUAAAAUUUUCAUCACGAUCACACAUAUGAAAGGCUCUAUCCGCAUUAUCGUUCUCCCUAAUGAAAUUGUGAAGUGCCAUACAUGCUACUAUUAUUUUGCUUUGCUUUCCAUUGGAAAACUCUGGAGCACCAUGCUGCAACUUCCUCAAAUCAGGACGUUUCUGCAAGUGAGAUGUGAUUCUAAGUCAGGAUCACUACAUCCUGGAAAUAAAAGGGUUAGUUGAAAAUUUAUCUCUCACCUCUGUGUGUAUAUCCCACCACCAGUUAGGAGCUAGCACUGUCCCAUCUGAAUUUCUACCUGGACCUGAUUCCUUCUGUAGGCUUUUCCAAAAGGUAUAUAUCCUUUUCAAUUGAUCUCUUCUAUUCCUAAACUGAGAGAGGUCAUGCUUCAAACCAGUAGCCAUGUAGUACUUUUCUUGAUUUAUCUUCAACCCUCCGGUAGGCAUGUAAUGGUGACAACAAUAUUGAUUAAUUUAGCUUAAAAAUCUUGAGUGAGGGCACGUGCUCUCACUCGCUUGAACCUAGGUAUGUCCCUGGUACACACUACAGCAUGUUGAGUUCCAGCUUUAAUUUUCUUCCAAAAUUGUUUUAUUUUAUAAGCUGAUCUAUAGUUUGCAUGUGGUUCUAGCUCGGCCAGUGAUCUGCAUACAGAAACACCAAUAUUCCAAGCAGUGCCAUCAUAAUAUAAAACUGCGAGAAAGAAAAAAGAAAAAGGUGCAAUGUCAUGUUUAUGGUCACACCUUUCACUGGUAGAAAAUUUGGCAUUAGUCCCAAUUGAUAGACCUUAAAUCUCUCUAAAAUCCAUCCAGGAUAAAAAUUUCGAGACAAAAGGGGAUCUUUAGUCCCGGAUCGUUCAAUCGGGACUAAAGACCUCCCAACCGGGACUAAAAAGUGUCAAAAAAAUAAAAAAAAACGCCCCACGCGGGCCGGCUGGGGUUUUACAUUAGCUGGGGCUAGGGACUGGAGUUUUAUAUCUCAUGUUGGCAAAGACGUUACUAUCUGGUCUUGAGAACGUGCUGUAAUUCAAGGUGAAACCCACUGUUCUGCCCAGUUUAAGAUGCAGUUAACUUUUGUUGCUUAUCUUAUUAUCAAAUUGCCCAGUUUAAGAUGCAGUAACUUUUGUUGCUUAUCUUAUUAUCAAAUCGUCAAGAUAUAGGAUGAUCCAUAUACUAGCAUGACGCAGCUGCAGGCAAGCUGCAAGCGGCACAAGCAAUGGCUGUACCGCUGCAGUGCGUACAGCAAUAUAAAGCGCGAGUGAAUUUACAGAUGUCGCGUCUUUAGUCGUGGAGGAUGUAUUUGUUGAUCUACUGUUAAGGGAAUUCAUAGGGCGCUCUAAGCGGGGGGCCGCGUCUCCACACUAUAGCACGGUUCUCCCAUCGAGUACCGAACAGGUUGCGAUAUACUGCUGAAUGCUCCAUUUUUUUGUUUUUGUAACGAACUGAAAGAAAGCCCCUUGCAAACAAAAACCCGGACACCCGCACACUGGCAGGAUGACCAAUGCCGGAACGGAACCUAGGUCACUGCAUAGUAAAUUACGCCUACAAAUAAGAUCAACCGGGAAUUCAUUUAGUCAAAACCUCAACAGGUACCAGGGGGCAUGAUAAGUGACAGAUGCAAAGGGAAAUUACGAGACAAGUCUAUUACAAUACUAGCUAGCAGUUACAAAUUAUUUGCCGAAACCAUUAGACUCACUAAAUAGAACAGACUCCACUACACAGCAAGCAUGCCGCCCUCUCUGAUCAGGUCCAUCAGCAUCACCAGUGCCGCUUCUUUGCAGAAUUAAAAUUAUUGGAUUUUGUAGGUGCUUUGUCGAGGCGGUGAAAGGUCGUAACCGUCGUCACAAAAGAAGACAUGCCAACGACAAUUACCAACGUGAGCUGAAAGCGUGGGCCAAAAUGUCUAUCCAGCCAUGCCACGACCCGCAUCCUUGAUGUUCUACAAUAAAGGAAGUACAGAAGCACAGCAUUGUUAGAUCAGUAUAAAUGUUUAAGAAAUGAGAAAGAUAACGCCUAUACAUUUUGAAAUAGUGAAGAAAAAGCACAGAGCUACAAGAAUGUUUGGCCUUAGUAUUCCACUAUUGAUAUUAAAGCUGUAGCUAAAAAACUCAGAUAUAGUGUAGAGCUUGCCUAUCGCUUUAUAUGUGAGGUAAAACAGUACAAUACAUCCUUCAAUGUGAAACAACCUACUAGUAGGUUAAAACAAUAAUGCACAUGGGAUUGACUACAAUCAACAGUAUCCUUACUCUUUCCUUUCCACCGAGAGGAACCUCUUCUGCUGUAAGCACUUCACACCCUCGGUCCCAACAGGGAAAUGCUGCCAGCCCUGCAGCAACAAUUCCAAUCAGUAUUAAUGGUAAACAAUAAUCAUAGCAAACAAGUUAAUUGUGACCCAAAAUUAUUUACUAAACUCAAGUUUCAGAUAGAGCAGCCUGUUCCUUGUCAACAGAAGAAAAUAUUAGCCAGCAGAUUAGUUUUCUAGAACAUGGCUUUGUACUAACAGUUAGCAGAAGUCGUGGACAACAAAGAUAAUACUAUCAAAACCUACUUUCAGUAAAAGGGACAGGUCUGAAAUCUCCAGAGCCUAGGUGUAAUUCCAUAGGCAUUAGUAUUACGAUCAAUUGGGUAGAAGUAAGAGUUCAGGCUUCAACAUUAAAAUAACUACACAAAACAACUAACAAACACCAUGAUUCCACCAUAAGCACACAAAGAAGGAAAUUGUUUUCAAACAAAAUUGAAAACAUUAGAUGAUAACAGCAAUAGAGAAUAUAUCAGUAACGGGGCAUCAAAAAAUAGAUUCAAUGGGAAAAUCUUUAUUGAAAAAGGGGGGACCAGAUUCAAUGGAACCCAAAGGUUUUCUGGCAUACUGCUGAACUGUGCUCUUCAGUGCAUUAAUCAAAGCUUAGCAGAUGGCAGUGGCAAAAUUGAAUAUAUACUUAAACAUGUAAGCCAUGUUGGCCCUAAAUGUAACUUUUUUAGGUUUGCUGUGUUGGGUAUAAAGAAAAUGUUGGGCCCCAGAUAUUGUGACAAUGGCCAUCACUAAAUUUCUGAGUUGCACAACCAAAUCCAGCAAUCCCAGGAGUACUCUUUAACCAAUGCACCCCCAGCCCUUAAGACCCACCCAAUCCUCGAGCUCUCAGGGUAAACACCGUUUGAAGCCUAAUGAACUGAGUUGCAAUUCUAUGAUACCAUGUUAUUCACAGUUCAGAUGCAAUGCAUAUGAAAUGAAUGGAACAUUCAGAUAGCACUCCGUGAUUAAGAUAGGGGACGAGGACGCCCCACUGAUAAAUGACCUACCCUGAAGGAACUGAAGCAAAUGUGUGGGGGUGGCAUCUCGUGAUGCUGGAGGAUAACACAAAUGAAUGAUGCUAUUGCUACCACUCAGUGUGGACAGCAAGGAAAGCAACUUGCUUCAAUGCCAGGUUUGACGAACGAGUUUAUACGGUGAAUCAGCAAAGAGGUGAAUUCUGAUUGGGCAAAUUGUAAUGUGCAUUCAAGGAAUUGCUAUCACUCCGAGUUUAUACGAGUAAUGAAAAUUGUGACGAGUUUUCCCCUUCGGUCAAUAAGAAAAAAUGAUGCCUCUUGCCUGGAUCAUUCAAGGAGUUCAGGUGCCUAGAUUACGAAAUCAACUGAAGUGAGGAGCAAGGUGCGAUUUUUACGCAAGCGGGCCAACUACGAAGCCAGGUCCUAAAUUGAAUACGUGGUCUCACCUGGAAAUUAGGGACGCCGCGGGUGCGCGCCGCAGUACCAGUAGCGGCAGGAGACAUGAAGGUCCUCAUCAGCUGGGCCGCUGGUUCGGGAUGCGGAACCAAUAGCUCCGCGGGGCGGAGCGACGGCAGCGUCGGGGAUCGGAGGAUCUCUGCCCCGCGUUGCCUCAUCAUCGAAGGAGCUGCUGAGGGUCCCGAUAGGCGGCGGAAAACACUCCCCAACGCCGAGCGCAACAUCGCCAUCUCUUGUUCUUCACCUCCUCUUCAACUCCUCUCCUCCUCUCUCUCUGGUCGGGUCGGGUCGGGUCGAUUAGGGUUGGCUGCUGUUCUGUUCUGUUCGGGUGCUGCGGCGCAAAAUAUAG